AUUGAACGCUGGCGGCAGGCCUAACACAUGCAAGUCGAGCGAGCGGCGGACGGGUGAGUAAUGUGUGGGAAACUGCCCGAUGGAGGGGGAUAAAUACUGGGAACGGUAGCUAAUACCGCAUACCAUCAGAUCUGCCCAGAUGGGAUUAGCUAGUAGGUGGGGUAACGGCUCACCCAGGCGACGAUCCCUAGCUGGUCUGAGAGGAUGACCAGCCACACUGGAACUGAGACACGGUCCAGACUCCUACGGGAGGCAGCAGUGGGGAAUAUUGCACAAUGGGCGCAAGCCUGAUGCAGCCAUGCCGCGUGUGUGAAGAAGGCCUUCGGGUUGUAAAGCACUUUCAGCGGGGAGGCGGUACCCGCAGAAGAAGCACCGGCUAACUCCGUGCCAGCAGCCGCGGUAAUUC
This 406-nucleotide ribosomal RNA is filed under the name uncultured bacterium. RNAcentral describes it as "partial 16S ribosomal RNA". It matches the Rfam family "Bacterial small subunit ribosomal RNA", at positions 29 to 526 of the family's 1533-position model. The record is from RNAcentral.